GCUGGCGGCGCGCCUAACACAUGCAAGUCGCACGAGAAAGCGGGAGCAAUCUCGCAAGUACAGUGGCGUACGGGUGAGUAACACGUGGAUCAUCUGCCCUGGAGUGGGGAAUAACGCUGGGAAACCGGCGCUAAUACCGCAUAUUCCCGAGAGGGGAAAGCAGCAAUGCGCUCGAGGAGGAGUCCGCGGCCGAUUAGCUAGUUGGCAGGGUAAAAGCCUACCAAGGCUAUGAUCGGUAGCCGGCCUGAGAGGGCACACGGCCACACUGGCACUGAAACACGGGCCAGACUCCUACGGGAGGCAGCAGUGGGGAAUCUUGCACAAUGGGGGAAACCCUGAUGCAGCGACGCCGCGUGAGCGAUGAAGCCCUUCGGGGUGUAAAGCUCUUUCGGCAGGGAAGAUUAUGACGGUACCUGCAGAAGCAGCUGCGGCUAACUACGUGCCAGCAGCCGCGGUAAUACGUAGGCAGCAAGCGUUGUUCGGAGUUACUGGGCGUAAAGGGUGUGUAGGCGGCCUGUUAAGUUCCGUGUGAAAUCUCCCGGCUCAACCGGGAGGGUGCGCGGAAUACUGACGGGCUA
Molecule: ribosomal RNA, 578 nt
Filed under: uncultured soil bacterium
Lineage: Bacteria
Description: bacterial SSU rRNA
Rfam family: Bacterial small subunit ribosomal RNA
Source: RNAcentral